Molecule: unclassified non-coding RNA, 280 nt
Filed under: fungal sp.
Lineage: Eukaryota; Fungi
Description: partial internal transcribed spacer region
Rfam family: Eukaryotic small subunit ribosomal RNA (bases 1-46)
Source: RNAcentral
AAGUCGUAACAAGGUAACCGUAGGUGAACCUGCGGUUGGAUCAUUACUAAAUACUUUGACCUGAGGUUGAGCUCAAUUCAUUGAGAUCCCUCAGUGUCAUAAACAUUUUGUGCAUCUAUUGUGUAUUUGGGUUAUCUCUAUCUUUUUCUUUUUGUUAACACAAAAAGAGUUGAAGUGAAAAGAUAACCCAACAAUGAAAAUAAACCAUUAUUCUUUUUUUUUGACUGAAAUAAAUUGAAAAAUUUAUAAACAACUUUUGACAACGGAUCUCUUGGCUCUC